GUGAUGGAGAAAGGCUGAGACUUGUUAAAGAGGGGGAAAAAAAUGAAAAGCUUGAGGCAAAAGGCAGAGUUAAAGCUUAAUUAAGAAAGUAGGCAUUUCAGGUUCACACACAUAAGCAAACAGAAUCCCCUGGCCCCUCCUGAUCAUCACCGAGUAAUUGCUUUAAAGCGGUGGUUUGUCCUGCUUGAACGGCCCUUAAACACAAGUUGAUGAAAGUCAUGGACAUAUGACAACACACCAGGGCAUGGCGGGGAUGGAAUCAAAUGGAUCCUGCAUCUCCUCUCGUCCUGGAGCUGUGUGACCUACUUUGAUGUUUAACACAAACUCACUUUGAGUCCAGUCCUCUGGGGUCUGCAUCUCACUUCCAUCACUUAUGACCUGUGUGACCUUGGGCACAGCGGGUUAGCACUUGGAACUUUGCUUUUCUCACCUUGAGAUUGGAGUUUUUAAUGCCAGCCCCCUACUUCUGUGAGAAUUAGGCAGAGCGAGUCCAAAGCAUCAGUUCCUGGGGAAGUUAAUCUUCUUUCUCCCCAGGAGAGCUGCUGCUGUCUCCUGCAGGGCACUGCCCCAGCCAGUCAGCAUCAGCAACUCCACAAGGUACCCUCACGGAAAGGAUGCAGGCAGCAGAUUCAGCGGCGAUGUGCGCUGAUGCUUGCUGGUACUUGCUGUCCCGCUGUGUGAAACAGCGCUCCUACUCCCCAGAUUCCUCAAUGGGUUAAUACUCCCUCCUUCCUCUCCAGGCCAGAGUCUGGGAGCCCCUUCCUCGUGGGUGCUGCCUCAGAGCCCCAGCUUCAGGGCUGAAUCUCUUGCUACCAUCAGACCCUUCAGGAAGCAUCACAGUUACCUUCCUCUCCAUCUUCCGAGGCACUCCCUCUGCUCCCAGGACCAGAAGCUCUGGGAGAGUAGAGACCACACGAGUUUCCUUCUGACUUUCCCAGACAUUGCCUGGCACUUUGCAGCAACCCCAUGACUGUUAUCUAAGUCAACUUUUUGACUCAUUCCAACCCCACAGCUACACAGCCACUAGCUGUGUCAUCUUUGGGAAUACAUGUCUUUCUAGUUUCACCUGUGAAAUGAGCUCAAGAGUAACUACUACUCACCAGAAAACACCAUCAAUGACUGGACACCUGUUUUCUUAUAUACCACUAAGAAAACAAACAAACAAACAAAAAAGAAUACUUCCGCAAACCUUUGACU
This is a long non-coding RNA of Bos taurus (domestic cattle), 1197 nucleotides long. NCBI's taxonomy places the organism in Eukaryota, Metazoa, Chordata, Mammalia, Artiodactyla, Bovidae. The record is from Ensembl.